This 443-nucleotide ribosomal RNA is filed under the name uncultured bacterium. RNAcentral's name for it is "partial 16S ribosomal RNA". It matches the Rfam family "Bacterial small subunit ribosomal RNA", at positions 338 to 795 of the family's 1533-position model. The record is from RNAcentral.
CCUACGGGUGGCAGCAGUUAGGAAUAUUGGGCAAUGGAGGAAACUCUGACCCAGCAACGUCGCGUGAAGGAAGAAGGUUUUCGGAUUGUUAACUUCUGAUCUGUGGGACGAAGAAAGUGACGGUACCACAGGAGAACGCCACGGCUAACUACGUGCCAGCAGCCGCGGUAAUACGUAGGUGGCGAGCGUUGUCCGGAAUAACUGGGUGUAAAGGUAGCGUAGGUGGUAGAUUAAGUUAGAUGUGAAAGCCCAGGGCUCAACUCUGGAACUGCAUUUAAUACUGGUCGGCUAGAGGACAGGGGGGGUAAACGGAAUUGCUAGUGUAGCGGUGAAAUGCGGAGAUAUUAGGAAGAACACCGGAGGCGAAGGCAGUUUACUGGACUGCAACUGACACUGAGGCUCGAAAGCGUGGGGAGCAAACAGGAUUAGAUACCCUUGUAGUC